UACGAAGGGGGCAAGCGUUGUUCGGAUUUACUGGGCGUAAAGGGCGCGCAGGCGGUACUUCAAGUCGGGUGUGAAAGCCCCGGGCUCAACCUGGGAACUGCACUCGAGACUGAAGCACUAGAGUUCGGGAGAGGAUGGCGGAAUUCCCAGUGUAGAGGUGAAAUUCGUAGAUAUUGGGAAGAACACCGGUGGCGAAGGCGGCCAUCUGGACCGAGACUGACGCUGAGGCGCGAAAGCGUGGGGAGCAAACAGGAUUAGAAACCCCAGUAGUCC
This 273-nucleotide ribosomal RNA is filed under the name uncultured bacterium. RNAcentral describes it as "partial 16S ribosomal RNA". It matches the Rfam family "Bacterial small subunit ribosomal RNA", at positions 524 to 796 of the family's 1533-position model. The record is from RNAcentral.